Molecule: unclassified non-coding RNA, 343 nt
Filed under: soil metagenome
Description: partial contains 5.8S ribosomal RNA, internal transcribed spacer 2, and large subunit ribosomal RNA
Rfam family: 5.8S ribosomal RNA (bases 1-120)
Source: RNAcentral
GAUGAAGAACGUAGCGAAAUGCGAUAAGUAAUGUGAAUUGCAGAAUUCAGUGAAUCAUCGAAUCUUUGAACGCACAUUGCGCCCGCUAGUAUUCUGGCGGGCAUGGCUGUCCGAGCGUCAUUUCAACCCUCAAGCCCCCGGGCUUGGUGUUGGGGAUCGGCGAGCCUCCGCGCCCGCCGUCCCCUAAAUCUAGUGGCGGUCUCGCUGUAGCUUCCUCUGCGUAGUAGCACACCUCGCACUGGGAAACAGCGCGGCCACGCCGUUAAACCCCCAACUUCUGAACGUUUGACCUCGGAUCAGGUAGGAAUACCCGCUGAACUUAAGCAUAUCAAUAAGCGGAGGA